AUGCGCGAGUCGCGCGACGCGUUCCUCAAACUUCCGCAAACUCUCUGGAGUCACUCGGUCAGUCAUGUCCAACAAUAACGCUAGCAGCAGCAGUGUGGCUGUGGCGCAGAAAGCCGUCAAACAGCUCAGACUAGAGGCCAAAAUACGACGAAUUAACGUUUCUCAAGCUGCCACAGACCUGAAGAACUUCUGCCUGCAGAACGCCCAUAAAGACCCGCUGCUGUUGGGCGUGCCAUCCAGCGACAACCCCUUCCGCCCGCCCAAGUCCUGCGGCCUCCUCUGAGCACGCAUAGGUUACCAACAAACUCCUGUCCUUCUAAAGCACCGUAGAUGCGUUUAAGCUGGUGAAGUGUUGCAGAUGAGGAGUCUGUUUCUACCUUUACACUACUCCACAAAGACCUCCUGGAGCACUACACAGACAAACACUACUUAGCAUAGCAAGAAAAGAAAUAUUUCCACUGUGUUCAUUUCCUUCACACUAAUUUCAUAUCUGCACAGUUGCUGUCUAUUUUUAUGAACUGUAUUAUGAGUAAUAAUGUUGACUAUGCUGAAUUUACACUGUAUGGUACAAGCAACUGUAAAAGUCUUGACACCCCCCAUGUUUUGAAAGCAAUUUUAUGUACCAAACGCUAUUUUAUUUGUAAUGCAUAUUUUAUAAAACAAAAAGACGUCCUUGAAGAUCGUAUGAAGUUUUACCUGGUUUAUGUGGAAGGAAUGGACAAAUUAAACUAUUAGAAUAUUUUUCCUAUCUAAUAUUAAAGGACAUUUUUCUACUAUAGUCUUUUACUAAUUUAUAGCCAGCAAGAUUUGGUUGGAAGGUCAUUUGUAAAUAUGUUGGACGUCUUCCUUUAUCUGACGCUCAUUUCGGGUCUUGGCAUCUUGACUAAUGAGCUGAUGAGUCGAGUCAGGUGUGUUUGAUGAGGAAGACAUUCAAUAUGUGCUGUGUUGAGGAAACCUUGAUUACCUGCUGAAUGAACAUGUUCAAAUUAAACCUUUAUUCUCGUUUCAUUGACUUUUUGCUAAACAGACUUUUAAAAAAUAAAGUGUUCUUGAUCAUU
RNA transcript from Sinocyclocheilus anshuiensis, 1058 nucleotides. It is a transcript of the gene named guanine nucleotide-binding protein G(I)/G(S)/G(O) subunit gamma-5-like, with no coding region annotated. The record is from RefSeq and is a predicted model, not a curated record. The transcript has 3 exons. NCBI's taxonomy places the organism in Eukaryota, Metazoa, Chordata, Actinopteri, Cypriniformes, Cyprinidae.